GCCAGGCGGUGCUGGUGCACACCUGUAGUCCCAGCUACUUGGGAGGCUGAUGUGGGAGGAUUGCUUGAGCCCAGGAGUUCAAGGCUGCAGUGAGCCAAGAUUGCGCCACUGCACUCCAGCCUGGGCAACAAAGCAAGACCCUGUUUCCA
This is an unclassified non-coding RNA of Callithrix jacchus (white-tufted-ear marmoset), 149 nucleotides long. It matches the Rfam family "Metazoan signal recognition particle RNA". Rfam says of the family: The signal recognition particle (SRP) is a universally conserved ribonucleoprotein. It is involved in the co-translational targeting of proteins to membranes. NCBI's taxonomy places the organism in Eukaryota, Metazoa, Chordata, Mammalia, Primates, Cebidae. The record is from Ensembl.